This is a long non-coding RNA of Panicum virgatum (switchgrass), 462 nucleotides long. RefSeq lists it as uncharacterized. The record is from RefSeq and is a predicted model, not a curated record. The transcript has 3 exons. NCBI's taxonomy places the organism in Eukaryota, Viridiplantae, Streptophyta, Magnoliopsida, Poales, Poaceae.
UACUCAACAGGACCGAACCGAGCUGAUGAUGAUGAGGGGUCAGAAUGGCUACAUAGGAGUGACAACUUCAUCAGAGAUUUAUGUUGUGGGCAAGGGAUCGAAGCCCUCGGGUGUGGGAACAACCUGAAUUCACACGAGAUGAAUAUUGUGCAUGCGGGCGGUAACCAAGGUAAAUGCAAUUCCGACGUGUGUUAUGCAUAAUGCAUUUAUUUUUUUCAUGAAGUUAUUGAUGUGAUUGAUGUUGUAGAUGACAAUCUUUCGACCAAAAAGAAUGUUGCUGAGUUAUUUGUUAAUCCACAUGAGAAUUGUGCCGUAAAUGCGGGGGAAAUUGCAGGGCUAUUCACAUAUGGAUCUUUGAAUAACGCUAUUGUUUAUGACCAACCCAUUAUAGAUGAUAAUGGAGCACAACGUACAGGUAUGUAGUUGAAUCAACUACGGCUCUGGCGAUCGUAAUAUAGUGCA